GGCUUGGCCUCCACUCUCUCCGCCAACACCAUUGGGUCUCUAUAAGCACGUGUGCAACUUCUGGUGAGAGUCUCUAUGAAGGGCUAGACUGGCUCUCCAACAAUAUCGCUAACAAGGCGUGAGCAGUUAUGAAUUCUGUUAGUGUUUUGUUUGGAUUGCAGGCGUAAAUGUCAUCUGAGCUUUUUUUUUAAUGUAAGGGAAUUGUGGUUGUGAUGAAAUUGGA
Molecule: long non-coding RNA, 223 nt
Organism: Magnolia sinica
Lineage: Eukaryota; Viridiplantae; Streptophyta; Magnoliopsida; Magnoliales; Magnoliaceae
Exons: 2
Source: RefSeq, a predicted model, not a curated record